This 1897-nucleotide long non-coding RNA is filed under the name Physcomitrium patens. Its description in RNAcentral is "long non-coding RNA (PPAT_LNC010384)". The record is from RNAcentral. Lineage: Eukaryota; Viridiplantae; Streptophyta; Bryopsida; Funariales; Funariaceae.
GUUUCAUUCUUUCUUUUUCUCAUUCUUAGUUUAUUUUUCAAUUAGAAAGUUUUGAAUGUUUUCUCUUAGUUGCAUGUUUGUUUGGUAAAUGAUUAUGUGUACUAAACUGUAUACUUAAAUAAAGAAGAGAAAUAGUUUUUUUGUUUUUUUUUGUACCUUACUGCAUAAAUAUUGAGUGUUAUUUUAUUGAGUUUUUUUUUAAUUUAUGUAUUAAAGUGUGAGUGUAUAUAUAUAUAUAUAUAUAUAGAUUGUAAUAAAAUGACCUUGAUAAUCUGGUUUUUUCUUUUCUUUUCUCUUUUGUCUAUUUAUCUAAUAUAAUGUAGGUGGUUUAUUUCAUUCCACAUUCAGAUAAAUAUAAACAAUUUGAUACCAUUGUUGGUUCUUUUUACUUGUAUGUUUAUUAUUUUGAAAAUUUCAGAAAAUUAAAUAAUCAUAAAAUCGAUUUUAUUUCGAAAAAACAUUUACAAAAAUAGGGAAUUCAAAAAGAAAUUCUAUAUUAUAAACCAAUAGAAAAUUGCCAUGCUAAAUUUCAAAGAUUCAAAAGUUGCAAGAUUAAUAUGCUUAACAAAGGCAUUCACAAAAAUUAUAUAUAUAUAUAUAUAUAUAUAUAUAUACACACACACACAAACUUUGAAACAAACAAGAUAAUUUUAUGAAGAUUUCAGAUUUUUUUAUUUUGAAAUGACCUUUUUUCUUUCUUUAUUUUUUAUUUAUUUAUUUAAAUUCUAAGUAGUCUGAAGCAAAAAAAAUAAAAAAUAAAAAAUAAAUUAUUGGCACAUGAACAAAACAUGAAUAACCAUGGAUAUCUCAUGUAUUCAAUUCAGAGCCAUUUCAAGUACAACACGGUCAAAUGAAGGUUGGAAACUAUGCAUGGAGAUAAUGGGUGGUCUUCUGCUACUAAAUCAAACCAUCUCCAAAUUGGUUAGAAGAAGAAGAAGAAGAAAAAAAAAAAAAAAAAAAAAAAAAAAAACAUCACUUCAAAAUUCUACAGGAAGUAUCAUAAUUAGACGUUCUCUCUAUGUGUGUAGGUAUAUAUAUGAUACAUAAAUUUUUUUAUAUUUCUUUUAAUUUGUUGUGGCCUUUUGAGGUCUUGUGGUAUUCCAAAAGACCUUGUGGACACAUGGAAUUUGCCCAAAUUAAAACCAUACAUACUUAAAAGGUCUUAUUGUGGGGUCAUAGAGUCCUUUCUUGCCGAAAAACAUUCUUCAGAGAAAUCUUAAUUUGAUUUAUAAGGUCUAUCCUGACCAACUUGAAGGUAAUCCAUAAAAAGAGUCUUCGAGCCGCAAGUUGUUAACUUCAGCAAAUUUGUGACUUGGUAUGUGGACUUUGUUUACCAUCUAUUAUGGAGUAUUGUAAAUAAGAAUAUAACUAAUAACAAAUUGCAGUUAUAUAAAUAGACUAGUCAGGUUCUAUAGAGUAUCGUUGCAAAUACUGGCCACAUACAAAUUAAAAUAGACUUCCAGAUGCUCUGUGGAUGUUGUGAAAGAACACCGAUAGAAAGAAAGUAUUACUUCAAGGUACUUCAAAAUUAUUUAUUGCAUUUCCAAUGAAUUUAUUUUAAAAGUAAGAAAUGCAAUAUAUGAUUUUUCAUCAAUAUGUAUUUUUACAGAUUUGGUGGAGUCAGUAGACCAAGAGUUACAUCAAAAGUACCCAACAAUUUCUAUUUAAUUGAAGUUUUGCUUCAGGAGUUCUAUUUCAAAUCACAAUUGUCUGAGAUUCAAAAGUGCUUGGAAAACCAACCUCUUAGAACAAAUUUUUUGAAGUCAGAAUGUUCACAACUGUAAAUUUGAUGUAUUACAAAUAUACAGAAAUAAAUAACUAACUAAAACAAUAUUCCUUUAAACAGUGAGUUGAAUUAAUUCUUUAAUGAAUAACAUAUUGUUGAAUACUAACAAAA